UGAGGAAUAUUGGUCAAUGGGCGCAAGCCUGAACCAGCCAUGCCGCGUGCAGGAAGACGGUCCUAUGGAUUGUAAACUGCUUUUAUACAGGAAGAAACCUCCCUACGAGUAGGGACUUGACGGUACUGUAGGAAUAAGGAUCGGCUAACUCCGUGCCAGCAGCCGCGGUAAUACGGAGGAUCCAAGCGUUAUCCGGAAUCAUUGGGUUUAAAGGGUCCGUAGGCGGCCUUAUAAGUCAGUGGUGAAAUCU
RNAcentral lists this ribosomal RNA (250 nucleotides) under uncultured bacterium. RNAcentral describes it as "partial 16S ribosomal RNA". It matches the Rfam family "Bacterial small subunit ribosomal RNA", at positions 355 to 602 of the family's 1533-position model. The record is from RNAcentral.